GCCGGUCGUUCCUGGGAGACAAGAGGGCCUGUAAAGCCCACGCCAUUCGGCUAGCAGUGUUCGAUUCACUGGACCGGCACCA
RNAcentral lists this transfer RNA (82 nucleotides) under Mycobacterium phage ScottMcG. RNAcentral's name for it is "tRNA-Tyr". Lineage: Duplodnaviria; Heunggongvirae; Uroviricota; Caudoviricetes. RNAcentral also lists the same sequence under 8 other names. The record is from RNAcentral.